UGAGGGUUUGAUCCUGGCCCAGGAUGAACGCUAGCGGCGUGCUUUAAGCAUGCAAGUGGGACGGUCCGUAGGACUGAACUGUUAACAGUUAACAAAUUAACAAGUUAACAAAUUGACUAAAUAUAUUAUCAUUAGUGAUGAGGACUUUUAGAUACUUGGACUUUACUGUAUACAAAGAAAGUAAAGUUUAUUAUCGAAAAUGUAUCUCUAUUACAAGAAACUUUUCAAGAAUAUAUUGGGAAUUAAAAGAUCAACUUUUAAGAGCGGCGCUUUCUGUAUGUCUUAACAUAGCAGAAGGGUCCGCAAAAUACUCCGACAAGGACUUUAAAAGAUAUUUAGAAAAUUCUUUGGGGUCUAUUAAUGAAUGUUUUGCCUGUAUAGAUAUUGCUUUUGAAAAUGAACUAAUAUCUAACGAAGAUUUUCUGAUUCUGAAAACAAUGUCAGAAUCGGUGGCAAAACAGCUUGGUGGGUUAAUUAAAAAGCUUCGAAAUUGAAAUAUUUUUAGUUAAUUGUUAAUUUUGUUAAUAGUUAAUUUGUUGAAUGUUCUGUCCUGCGGACAGUCGCGAACGGCUGAGUAACACGUAAGAACUUACCCCUUGGCGGGGAAUACCUCCGCGAAAGCGGGGCUAAUACCGCAUGACCUCCUGCUAUGCAGGAGAAAAGGAUUUAACUAUCCACCGAGGGAAAGGCUUGCGACCCAUCAGCUUGUUGGUGAGGUAAUGGCUCACCAAGGCUACGACGGGUAGGGGAUGUGAGAGCAUGUUCCCCCAGAAUGGGACUGAGACACGGCCCAUACACCUACGGGUGGCAGCAACUGGGAAUCGUACGCAAUGGACGAAAGUCUGACGUCGCGACGCCGCGUGAGGGAUGAAGGCGGAUUCGUUGUAAACCUCUUUUGCUCCGACUGAGAAGUCGGGGAGAAUAAGCACCGGCUAACUCCGUGCCAGCAGCAGCGGUAAUACGGAGGGUGCAAGCGUUAUCCGGAUUUAUUGGGCGUAAAGCGUUUCGUAGGCGACAUGAUAAGUCACCUUUUAAAGACUCCGGCUCAACUGGAGAAAGGGGGGUGAUACUGUCGUGUUUGAAUCAUUUAGGGGCUACCGGAACUAUCGGUGUAGGAGUGAAAUCCGUUGAUAUCGAUAGGAACACCAAGGGCGAAGGCAGGUAGCUGGG
Molecule: ribosomal RNA, 1170 nt
Filed under: Candidatus Woesebacteria bacterium GW2011_GWA1_38_8
Lineage: Bacteria; Candidatus Woeseibacteriota
Description: bacterial SSU rRNA
Rfam family: Bacterial small subunit ribosomal RNA
Source: RNAcentral